This 228-nucleotide unclassified non-coding RNA is filed under the name Hevea brasiliensis (rubber tree). Lineage: Eukaryota; Viridiplantae; Streptophyta; Magnoliopsida; Malpighiales; Euphorbiaceae. The record is from RNAcentral.
GUGAAAUUCUCAUGUUGCUUUUCUCGCUCCUUAUCCUUUUCUAUUUUAUCUCUAUCCUUAUCAUGCUCCUUAUCCCUUUCCAGUCUUUCUUUCUCCCUUUCCAGUCUUUCUUUCUCUCUUUCAAGUCGUUCCUUCUCUCUUGCACGUCCACGUUCAACUUCACUUUCACGUCGUUCCUUCUCCCUUACACGUCCUCGUUCACUUUCAAGUUCUUUAUCUAAAUCUUUA